This 254-nucleotide ribosomal RNA is filed under the name uncultured bacterium. Its description in RNAcentral is "partial 16S ribosomal RNA". It matches the Rfam family "Bacterial small subunit ribosomal RNA", at positions 524 to 776 of the family's 1533-position model. The record is from RNAcentral.
UACGUAGGGAGCGAGCGUUGUCCGGAUUCAUUGGGCGUAAAGAGCUCGUAGGCGGCUUGGCAAGUCGGGUGUGAAAACUCCAGGCUCAACCUGGAGACGCCACCCGAUACUGCCAUGGCUAGAGUCCGGUAGGGGACCACGGAAUUCCUGGUGUAGCGGUGAAAUGCGCAGAUAUCAGGAGGAACACCGGUGGCGAAGGCGGUGGUCUGGGCCGGAACUGACGCUGAGGAACGAAAGCGUGGGGAGCGAACAGG